RNAcentral lists this long non-coding RNA (776 nucleotides) under Papio anubis (olive baboon). RNAcentral describes it as "lncRNA (ENSPANG00000041459.1)". Lineage: Eukaryota; Metazoa; Chordata; Mammalia; Primates; Cercopithecidae. The record is from RNAcentral.
AUGGUUUCAUGUCUUUGUGAAUUUAAUCCUGUCAUUUCUAUUGAUCACUUUGGCUGUGGAGACCAAGAAGGAGAAAAGGACAGGGGCCCAAGGAAAACUUCGCCUUCUCCCUCUGAAGGUUUGUUGAAAAUCACUGACAAGAGGCAGAUUAAUAGGAGGAAAAUCAUACAAAUUUAUUUUUAAUGUGCACAUGGGAGUCUUCGGAAUGAAGACCCAAAGACACAGGAGAGUUUGUCUAUUUUUAUGCUUAGGCUCAACAAAGUGUGAAUAGUCAUAUGAAGAUACAACUGGACAAAAAGGGUCUGAUCUAAUGCUAACAGACUAAGUGGGGAAACCCAGCAAGGGCUGUCUGUGUAGAUUCUUCUUGGCCAGUCUGAGUAUCUAUUCCUUUCUUCUGGGUAUGGGGCAGAAUCCUCUGGAAUGGGGGGCUUAUGACCUACAGUCAAGCAAGGUAGAUCAGAUCAUUUCUUUAUGGCUAGCUUUUACUCAGAAAGGUGGAAGGGGGGAUUAGAGUAAUAUUUUUGGGUAGUUUGGCUGGUAUUGGGGAAAGAGGAGUUCUGCUUUCUAUGACAUCCCUUGGGGAAAAGGGGUUCCGGGGGUUCUACUUUUUCUGGCUGGCCCAGAGGGAGAACUGGACUGAGACAGGAGAGCAGGAAAAGGUCAGGGAAAAACUUUUGCUUCUGAAGCUGCUUCUGAGACUUUCACUUUGGGUUAUUGUUUUCUGAGUCCCCACACCAACAUAAUAGGGGUGUUCUCCAAUUCCCAAAUGAAAAAAA